GAUGAACGCUGGCGGCGUGCUUAACACAUGCAAGUCGAACGGAAAGGCCCAAGCUUGCUUGGGUACUCGAGUGGCGAACGGGUGAGUAACACGUGGGUGAUCUGCCCUGCACUUCGGGAUAAGCCUGGGAAACUGGGUCUAAUACCGGAUAGGACCACUUCUUGGAUGUUGUGGUGGAAAGUUUUUUCGGUGUGGGAUGAGCUCGCGGCCUAUCAGCUUGUUGGUGGGGUAAUGGCCUACCAAGGCGUCGACGGGUAGCCGGCCUGAGAGGGUGUACGGCCACAUUGGGACUGAGGUGCGGCCCAGGCUCCGACGGGGGGCAGCAGUGGGGAAGAUUGCACAAUGGGCGCAAGCCGGGUGCAGCGGCGCCGCGUGGGGGAUGACGGCCUUGGGGUUGUAGACUCCUUUCGCGAGGGACGAAGCGUUUUGUGACGGUAUCUGGAGAAGAAGCACCGGCUAACUACGUG
RNAcentral lists this ribosomal RNA (467 nucleotides) under uncultured bacterium. Its description in RNAcentral is "partial 16S ribosomal RNA". It matches the Rfam family "Bacterial small subunit ribosomal RNA", at positions 28 to 507 of the family's 1533-position model. The record is from RNAcentral.